AAACAUCCUCACUGAAGUCGGGUUUCGUUAGCAGCGGGCUGUUUUAAUAAAUUCAACAAGUUCGUUGUCGACGAAACCUGCAUGCUGUGUGGAAAAU
Drosophila melanogaster (fruit fly) is the source of this 97-nucleotide non-coding RNA. Its record names the gene mir-981. Lineage: Eukaryota; Metazoa; Arthropoda; Insecta; Diptera; Drosophilidae. The record is from Ensembl.